Non-coding RNA from Terrapene triunguis (Three-toed box turtle), 392 nucleotides. The record is from the annotation of a RefSeq genome assembly. NCBI's taxonomy places the organism in Eukaryota, Metazoa, Chordata, Testudines, Emydidae.
GGGCCCGCUCGCAGGUGGUUCUGAGCCAGUCGGGGCCAGCGCUGAAGAAGCCCGGAGAGUCCCAUACACUGCAAUGUGCCACCAGUGGGUUCACUCUUAGCAGCACAUGGAUGGAGUGGGUCAGACAGGUGCCAGGAAAGGGGCUGGAGUGGCUGGCUCAGUACUACGAUGAGGCGAACACCAAGUCCUACGCCUCCUCCGUCCAGGGCCGAUUCACAGCCUCCAAGGACAGCACCAACUUCUACCUGCAAAUGACCAGCCUGAGAGCAGAGGACACCGCCGUGUAUUACUGUGCGAGAUACACAGUGAGGGGAAGUGAAUCUGAGCUCAGACAAAAACCUUCCUGGCAGCUGCGGAAGAAGUUCUCUGCCUGGGGCGCUAACGAGCCGUAG